This 252-nucleotide ribosomal RNA is filed under the name uncultured bacterium. RNAcentral describes it as "partial 16S ribosomal RNA". It matches the Rfam family "Bacterial small subunit ribosomal RNA", at positions 524 to 776 of the family's 1533-position model. The record is from RNAcentral.
UACGUAGGUCCCGAGCGUUGUCCGGAUUUAUUGGGCGUAAAGCGAGCGCAGGUGGUUUAUUAAGUCUGAUGUAAAAGGCAGUGGCUCAACCAUUGUAUGCAUUGGAAACUGGUAGACUUGAGUGCAGGAGAGGAGAGUGGAAUUCCAUGUGUAGCGGUGAAAUGCGUAGAUAUAUGGAGGAACACCGGUGGCGAAAGCGGCUCUCUGGCCUGUAACUGACACUGAGGCUCGAAAGCGUGGGGAGCAAAUAGG